RNAcentral lists this long non-coding RNA (2808 nucleotides) under Sus scrofa (pig). RNAcentral's name for it is "lncRNA (ENSSSCG00005037970.1)". Lineage: Eukaryota; Metazoa; Chordata; Mammalia; Artiodactyla; Suidae. The record is from RNAcentral.
GUUGGGAAUGGGACUGGAGAGGUUAUUAUCAAGGGUCGGUUUGCUUAGGAGCAGGGUCUAUUUAAGUCUGAGAUCCUAUUAGGAGAGGGUAGCGGUUGCCGUAAGGCGGGGUUAUGCAAGUCCGACCCAGAAGCAGUCCGUUUGGAACUUAGUCCCAGAGUUUGAGCUUUCGAGCGGAGUGGGCGGGGUCUCUACAACUUCAAGUCCUGGCGGCCCCCUGCGCGGAGCUGGCGGGGCCUUCCUAGUGGGCGGAACCGGCCACGGAACCUCAGAUGCGGCUGGCUGGAGCUAUACAAACGGGACCCAAAGUCGGUUGCUCAGCAACUCUGUACUAGGGGAGGGGCCUACAAGCUCAGUAGGCGAGAUUUCACAACGAACAGGUAGCUUUACCCAGCUCUAGGCUUAGUCUCAGUUCUCUGACGCCGGGUGAACUGCCCCUUUCUUGUCACUAAAUUUCAAUCCCGGCAUGGAGUUGGAGCCGUGGAAGGUAGAUGGGAGACCUGAAGGAAAACACAGACAGAGGGUGGCUCGUGCAUUGCGAUCCAGAGACCCCUAACGGACUUCUCCCUAGAGGUCCCAAACGUCUUGACCUCCACGAACCCCAUGGGAUCAGGGCAUUCGGGCACCAAUGCAUCCUCGCAAGGCUCAGGCGCCAAUGCAGCCCCUCUGGAACCUAUGCAUCAGGACCCCAAUCGAUCCCUCUUCGGGAGUUCUGGCGUUCAGCCCCCAAUCCACUUCCCGAAGACCCAGGCGUCUGGGCCCAGACCCCUGCCCUUCUCACCUGCGGACGGCCCCUCCCCGGGGGCGGGGCUCCGGGCCCCUCCCACUGCGGUGCUGCCUUCGGACUCCUAGGAGCUGCACCGCCCGGCGCGCGCCCUGCGACGAGAGGGCGGGGGAGGGAGCGCGCGCGAGCUGCUGGACCCAGCCUCAUUUCCAUCCCCUCCUCCCACGCCGAGCCGGUGAGGGCGUCAGUACGCAUGCGCAGUCGCGGCCCGCGGAGGCUGCUGCAGGGGAGACGAAAUGGAAGGAGUGGGUGGGUGCACAAGGCCAGCAAGUGGGUGAGCAAGCGCAGAGCUAUCAGCCUAAGUACUGGAGGAAAGAGUACCGCCGCUUGCGGGGCCUACGGUGGCUGACUGGAGUCAAUCACGUGCAGAAGCUAACACGGGGAAACCUCACUCAGAGAUCACCGAGACAGCGCUCAGCAUGUGUACUUUCCCUUCUUUUCGAGAAUUCCUCUGAGUCCCGUCUCCCGAAUCAGUUUCAAGGCCUUGGCAAGAAAAACCUAGCCAUUUCUUCGAGAGAGAAUGGGAGAUGGACUCCCGACUCAAAGCGAGCGGAAGCCCCUCAAGGCACGAAUGACCCUGGGGAGUUGCCAUCGUGGCGCAGCGGAAACAUCCGACUAGUAUACAUGAGGAUGCCUUUUGAUCCCUGGCCCUGCUCAGUGGGUAAGCGAUCCAGAGUUGCCAUGAGUUGUGGUGUAGGUCACAGACGCGGCUCGGAUCCCCUGUUUCUGUGGCUGUGAAUACGGCCGGCAGCUGUAGCUCCGAUUGGACCCCUGGGAACUUCCAUAUGCCUCGGGUGCGACCCUAAAGAGAAAAAAAAAAAGACACUAAUGACACCAAAACAUACAUUUUUUUUUCUUCCCACCGCUUGCUGGGAAGUGUACUGGGGUCUCUUGUUGGGUUUCCCUUCUCUAGGGAGAGAAGUUUGUGCUUCUCUCAGUGUGUCUCCCUCGCCCCGUCCCCCCUUUUUUUGUCCUUUUAGGGCCGCUCUCUCGGUUGAUGGAAGCUCUCAGGCUAGGGGUCCAAACCGAGAUGUAGCUGCCAGCCUACAGAGCGAGGCCAGGGAUCGAACCCGCGUCCUCCAUUCUCCUGGGUACUAGUCGGAUUUGGUGUCUCCCUGUUCUUUGUUUUCCUAGAUCUCACGGUUUUCUAUCUAUCUCCCCCAGCCCUUUUCCGUCCGUCCGCGUCCUCACCCCCAGGACCUCCCGGCCCCUUUAAGGCGGGCCCCGCCCCGUCCGCCCCGCCCCUCCGGGGUCAUCCCUGGGUGCACCCGGCUUCCGCGGGCGUUCAGACUCAGCUCUGUCUCCACCCAGCCGCGGGCGCGAUGGCCGCUCUGAGGGUCGCUGGGCGGCAGCUCAGCCAACACCGUGGGUCUGGAGCCCCCAUCCUCCUACGGCAGGUUGGUGAUGGCUGGACUCGGGAGCGGCGCAGGGGCGGAACUCCAGGGUCUUUAAAAUCAAGAGAGAUACCAGGGCUCCGAAGCUUGGAUCUUUGCGGAAAGGGGCGUAGGGCUAGACUCCGGCGUCCUUUAAAGGGGAGAGUUCUAGGACCCCCUGGGCUUGGGGCCGGACUUUUGCGUCCGUUCCAGAAGAGGGUGAUGGGGGCCCAGAUUUGGGGAUGGAUGGAAGUUGGGACUCAUUGGUUCAGACGGAGUAAAGUUUGGAGGUCCCAGACUCCUGACUCUGAGAAGGAGGGAGAAGGGGCUGGAGUUUCUGCUUCUGGAUCUUAGGAGGAGAAUCAAGUUGAAGCCUGGACUCGGGGUUGGUCCGCAGUGAGUGGGAGUCUGGUUCUGUGCCUUAACCUGCCCCCCUCCCCUUUCCCAGCUGUUUGAGCCCAAGAGCUGCACCUAUACUUACCUCCUGGGUGACAGAGAGUCUCGAGAGGCCAUUCUGAUAGACCCGGUUCUGGAGACGGCGCAUCGGGAUGCCCAGUUGGUCAAGGAGCUGGGACUGCGGCUCCUGUAUGCUGGUCAGUUUGGGGUCCGUACUUCUGGGCCUGAGGAGGCGGGGCGGUAGAGUGAAGAGGG